Molecule: ribosomal RNA, 478 nt
Filed under: Alternaria solani
Lineage: Eukaryota; Fungi; Ascomycota; Dothideomycetes; Pleosporales; Pleosporaceae
Description: partial 18S ribosomal RNA
Rfam family: 5.8S ribosomal RNA (bases 177-330)
Source: RNAcentral
UCAUUACACAAAUAUGAAGGCGGGCUGGCACCUCCCGGGGUGGCCAGCCUUGCUGAAUUAUUCCACCCGUGUCUUUUGCGUACUUCUUGUUUCCUUGGUGGGCUCGCCCACCACAAGGACCAACCCAUAAACCUUUUUGCAAUGGCAAUCAGCGUCAGUACAAUGUAAUAAUUUACAACUUUCAACAACGGAUCUCUUGGUUCUGGCAUCGAUGAAGAACGCAGCGAAAUGCGAUAAGUAGUGUGAAUUGCAGAAUUCAGUGAAUCAUCGAAUCUUUGAACGCACAUUGCGCCCUUUGGUAUUCCAAAGGGCAUGCCUGUUCGAGCGUCAUUUGUACCCUCAAGCUUUGCUUGGUGUUGGGCGUCUUUUUGUCUCCCCUUGCGGGAGACUCGCCUUAAAGCAUUGGCAGCCGGCCUACUGGUUUCGGAGCGCAGCACAAGUCGCGCUCUCUUCCAGCCCCAAGGUCUAGCAUCCACCA